This 189-nucleotide non-coding RNA is filed under the name Vagococcus allomyrinae. Its description in RNAcentral is "6S / SsrS RNA". It matches the Rfam family "6S / SsrS RNA". Rfam says of the family: E. coli 6S RNA was the first non coding RNA to be sequenced, but its function was unknown until recently. It consists of 184 nucleotides that fold into an extended hairpin structure with a large single-stranded internal bulge. The record is from Rfam by way of RNAcentral. Lineage: Bacteria; Bacillati; Bacillota; Bacilli; Lactobacillales; Enterococcaceae.
GGAUAUCUGUGAUGUUCGAAUCACUCCAAUCUGUGUUGACCGAACAUUUUUAGUAUUACUUCGGGAUUCAACGAGUUCAAAAAGAAAACAAGCCUUUUCACUUGGUAGUUUGACAGUUGGACAGCGAACCCCACCUGCUUACUGCGGGAUCAAUACUCCGGCGUGAUCAACGGCAUCUACGGAUACUGC